Long non-coding RNA from Dendronephthya gigantea, 272 nucleotides. RefSeq lists it as uncharacterized. NCBI's taxonomy places the organism in Eukaryota, Metazoa, Cnidaria, Anthozoa, Malacalcyonacea, Nephtheidae. The record is from RefSeq and is a predicted model, not a curated record. The transcript is spliced from 4 exons.
UAUGUUAUUAAAGUAGUAGUUCGUGUUUCGAUAUAUAUCGCAUUGCAGGGAGCUCCAGGCCUUGAUGGCAUCAGCAACAAAAAGCGAGGUAUGAAGGGUGAGCAAGGAGUCGUCGGAGAAAUGGGAGUGGAGGGUGACGCUGGAUAUGUAGGAGCCCUCGGCUGGAAGGGCGAGCGUGGAUCACCUGGAGAAACAGGCCCCAAGGUGAAAUCUUUUGAAAGCGAAGCAUUCAUUCUAGCAUGCAAAACUGGAAAGAUCUUUCUUUAUGAGCU